UUGUAGGGUUCGUUGUUAGCCCGGGGUAAAACAACGAGUUGGGUAGUUCACUCGAAAAACUACCGGAUUGUAGGGUUCGUAGUUAGCCCGGGGUAAAACAACGAGUUGGGUAGUUCACUCGAAAAACUACCGGAUUGUAGGGUUCGUUGUUAGCCCGGUGUAAAACAACGAGUUGGGUAGUGCACUCGCAAAACUACCGGACUGUAAUCGCUGAUUAUAGUAGAAAUUUCCAAAGGUGUUUGGAGAGUGGAUGUAGGAGCAGUGGAAGCUCCGAACCACUAUAAACUUUUGUGUUUGCGAUUGACUGUGGUUACAACUUUAGUUUCACUUUUGCACAUACACUUGUGUGUUUUCUUUUAAUCAGACAAAAAGUUUUUAAAACACCCAAUUCACCCCCCUCUUGGGUUGUAUCUACUGGGCAACAA
Molecule: long non-coding RNA, 425 nt
Filed under: Phoenix dactylifera (date palm)
Lineage: Eukaryota; Viridiplantae; Streptophyta; Magnoliopsida; Arecales; Arecaceae
Description: long non-coding RNA (PDAC_LNC017462)
Source: RNAcentral